UCGACCUGAGAUCAGACGAGAUUACCCGCUGAACUUAAGCAUAU
RNAcentral lists this ribosomal RNA (44 nucleotides) under Mesenchytraeus pelicensis. RNAcentral's name for it is "partial 28S ribosomal RNA". Lineage: Eukaryota; Metazoa; Annelida; Clitellata; Enchytraeida; Enchytraeidae. The record is from RNAcentral.